This 1232-nucleotide long non-coding RNA is filed under the name Felis catus (domestic cat). Its description in RNAcentral is "lncRNA (ENSFCAG00000043249.2)". Lineage: Eukaryota; Metazoa; Chordata; Mammalia; Carnivora; Felidae. The record is from RNAcentral.
AAGGAGGAAGGUGCCGGUGGGAGGGGAAUGUUCAGAGUGGAGGUCAGGAGGAAGAGGGAAGGACGUCACCUGAACGACUCUUGAUGCUUGGCAUCUUUCAGGCGUUGCCUGUUGGACGUCUGGCAGGAGUCGGCGAGAGGCAGGACUCGACAAGCUCUAUGGGCUCCUGGCUCCCUCCACAGGGACCCCAGCUCAGAGGAAGCCACCCUCCACCUCCAUCCCCGGAGGAACGUGACAAACACCAGCAGCAUCCGGAAAGACCACGAGGAGGAGGGAAGGGGGCUUUGGUCCCACCUCUCUCGAACUCCACCUCCUCUUGGCUCUGGAAGAUGUUCUCCUGGGUGCGCCACCAAAGCCUGGAAGGUACGAACCCUGGGAACUUCGCUUGUAGAGGGACACUGAAGGCGGCACCAGAAGCAAAGUGCUGCUAUCUGACGCCCGAGGGUUCCUGCGCAGUGGUCCCCGACACCCUUGUUUCCUUGCUGACUUACUCCAACAAGCACUCGUCUGUCGAGCGGGCCGGUACUGAGCGCCCACUGUAUACCAGGCAGCUGGCGAGUGCUGCGGGACCAGGCAGAGGAGCCCCUGCUCAGGCGGGGCCUCAAGUCCCCAGUCCAUUCGCUGGUUCCGUAGGAUACUGCGGGCAGCCGCCCCGGCCACCCAUCCUGUGACUCUGCCAGAGCGCGCUCCGCUUUCCCACGAGGGAGGCUCUGCACGCCUCCUCCAGGCAGCCCUAGCUCUCGGCCUGCUUGGCCAGCCCCUGACCUGGCUCAACUUCACCCAGGACCCCGUCCUCCCCUGGGCUUUGGCAGCAACAGUAGCCAGACCAGUUGCCCGGGGUGGGGGUGGCAUUCCUGGUGGCACCACACCCGCAGCUGCUUUCACUUGCCCCCCGGGAGGGCCCCACGGCUUCCCCAAGCCCCGCGGGAAUUACUCAUCCAUCCCAGGAGCGUCCUUUUAUUCCACUGACACAGGAGCCCCCACCGCCAGCCCGGCCCGCACUCAGGGUCGGCUGCGUCCGGGACUUCGGCUUUGUUUCUUUGCUGAUGUCCUCUGGUCCCCACACGACCUCUCAGAGUGCCUCUGUGGGUCACCCUCACUACUGGUUUCUGUAUCAUUAACACUUGGGACCAGGGACCCACAACACAUUUGUUGACCAAGUGAAUGAAGACAUUUGGGAUGAGGAUCCUUUGACGAAUAAACAUUUGGGAUGAGGGGCCUUUGACGAAUAA